Molecule: long non-coding RNA, 594 nt
Organism: Actinia tenebrosa (Australian red waratah sea anemone)
Lineage: Eukaryota; Metazoa; Cnidaria; Anthozoa; Actiniaria; Actiniidae
Source: RefSeq, a predicted model, not a curated record
CAUAAAGAGUAGAUCCUGCCAUGAGUGUUAAAACAGUCAAGGUAUAGACCAAUCCAGUAGUGGACAUCCUUUUUAUCCGAUACAACAGGUUGUCAAAUUCUUUCUUCUUGGCUCGACUUUUCAGUUUGUCUCCGAAAGAAUAGAAAGAAUCGAAAAAGACAUUCGAAAACUCCUCACUUGUGUUCCUGCGACUAUAACAAGCUAGAACAGGAAAUAAAGCGGCAUACAGUUACCAUGGAUACCGCAAAGGGUAAACAGAAAGUCUUUGGGCCAAAGGGACAGAUAUACUUUACAGUAUCUCCGCAUCAAUGCUAUUCAAGUGAAAACAGAAAACGGAAUGAAUAAAGACGUUCAAAGAUGCCUUACUUGUGUUAUGGCAGAUAACAAGUUAAGAACAGAAAAUAGAGCGGCGUACAGUACCAUCAUACCGCUAAGGGUAAAAAGAAAGUUGUUAUUCCAAAGGGAUGGAUAUUCCGUACAGUAUCCCUGUAUCAGUACUAUUCAAGUGAAAACAGAAAAGCAGGAAAUCAAAAGAAAAGUUCGAAAAUCUCUCACUUGUGUGGCCGUGCCAGAUUACAUGCUAAAACAGAAAGA